GACGAACGCUGGCGGCGUGCCUAAUACAUGCAAGUUGAGCGCUGAAGGUUGGUACUUGUACCAACUGGAUGAGCAGCGAACGGGUGAGUAACGCGUGGGGAAUCUGCCUUUGAGCGGGGGACAACAUUUGGAAACGAAUGCUAAUACCGCAUAAAAACUUUAAACACAAGUUUUAAGUUUGAAAGAUGCAAUUGCAUCACUCAAAGAUGAUCCCGCGUUGUAUUAGCUAGUUGGUGAGGUAAAGGCUCACCAAGGCGAUGAUACAUAGCCGACCUGAGAGGGUGAUCGGCCACAUUGGGACUGAGACACGGCCCAAACCCCUACGGGAGGCAGCAGUAGGGAAUCUUCGGCAAUGGACGAAAGUCUGACCGAGCAACGCCGCGGGAGUGAAGAAGGGUUUCGGAUCGUAAAACUCUGUUGGUAGAGAAGAACGUUGGUGAGAGUGGAAAGCUCAUCAAGUGACGGUAACUACCCAGAAAGGGACGGCUAACUACGUG
This 497-nucleotide ribosomal RNA is filed under the name uncultured bacterium. Its description in RNAcentral is "partial 16S ribosomal RNA". It matches the Rfam family "Bacterial small subunit ribosomal RNA", at positions 28 to 507 of the family's 1533-position model. The record is from RNAcentral.